This 65-nucleotide transfer RNA is filed under the name Anoplodactylus australis. RNAcentral describes it as "tRNA-His". The record is from RNAcentral. Lineage: Eukaryota; Metazoa; Arthropoda; Pycnogonida; Pantopoda; Phoxichilidiidae.
UAUAAAUAGUUUAAAUAAAAUAUUGAUUUGUGGAGUCAAAGAAUUUUUGUGUAAAAUUUAUAUAU